Molecule: unclassified non-coding RNA, 500 nt
Filed under: Schistocerca americana (American grasshopper)
Lineage: Eukaryota; Metazoa; Arthropoda; Insecta; Orthoptera; Acrididae
Description: vasotab-like, transcript variant X3
Source: RNAcentral
GCGGAAGUGCUACGUGCAAUUUGUGGUGCCAGCACUGCAGGGGUAGGCGUGCCUUCCUUUCGCAUGGGUUGUGUAAAAAGUACAUUAUUGUUGGACCAAGCGCGAGCCGGGCUUUUUCUUCGCUAUUGGCCGCCACACUGACCUCGGACAUCUAAAACCAUGGCCGGUGUGUCCUUCGCUAACUUUGUGCCGCCUCCGCACUUGCACAAGCCGUUGGCUCCCAUCUGCUGUCCGCGUUUUGUGCCACCUGAAUGCUGCCCGUCUUAUUGCCCAGAGGAGUAUAAACCUGUCUGUGCCACUGACUGCCACCAUCUGCGGACUUUUGCCAACAUUUGUUUCAUGCAUGCUACAAACUGCCUGGAAAAUACGAGAUACCGCAAAGUCUAUGACGGAAAAUGCCCAAACAGCCACCCAAUGCUCCAGUUCCAUGAUAAAGAAAUUGAGUGGAUGUAAAAAUGAAACUUGUAACAUUUUGAAUGAAUAAAGCAUUCUAUAAAUAA